UUGAAGUGUUAUAGCCUCUGGUAGAUGUGGUGAUUGGGACUGAGGAUUGCAACGAAUAUCCUUUGGGCUAUCCGUCUGAUCUCUGAAAGUUGCUCAGGUGCCGAAAGCGUGCUUACGGUCAUCUAAGUUGACGGUCAAUAGGUUAGAACGUGAUUACAUUCGUUAAGGAUGUUGGCGUAAUGGCUUUAAACGA
This 193-nucleotide ribosomal RNA is filed under the name Glomus sp. RNAcentral describes it as "partial large subunit ribosomal RNA". Lineage: Eukaryota; Fungi; Glomeromycota; Glomeromycetes; Glomerales; Glomeraceae. The record is from RNAcentral.